Long non-coding RNA from Sarcophilus harrisii (Tasmanian devil), 964 nucleotides. RefSeq lists it as uncharacterized. Lineage: Eukaryota; Metazoa; Chordata; Mammalia; Dasyuromorphia; Dasyuridae. The record is from RefSeq and is a predicted model, not a curated record. The transcript is spliced from 5 exons.
GACAAUUAUGACAAUGACAACUAUGACGAUGAUGACAAAGAAGAUGGAGGAGGAGGGGAAGGAGGGAAGUACCAGUGACAGAGGAAGAUAGAAUAAAUAGCUCAGUCUCACAAAUAUUUUAAAUUUCUCUUCUAUUCACAUCAACAUUCCCACAAAUUAUACUGUUGAAAUACAAAGAGCCAAUAAGCCUACCAUUUCUAAGCUGGCCUCAAAGCUUCUAUGAAAUAUGAACAGGAAACUUAAGAAUGGCUCUUCCUACAUUUAAUCCCUAGAACAUGGACCUCUACAGGAAGAAAGGGACCAAAAGUGCCAAGAUGAAGUUAGUUCUAAGAGAUUGCCAUCAAAGCAAGGGACAACUGGAGGUGGUACCGAAAUUAGGAAAAGGAAGUAGAAGGAGGCAGUGGGCAUAAAACAGCUUUAUUGACAAGUGACAACAGACACAAGACAGGGAAGAAGAAAAGCAGAAAGAAGAGGAGUUAUAUAGUUUAGUAACAGAUAAUUCAAAAGGUGUUCAUCUAGAAUAAAGAAGGGAAGCUAGAAGAUACAUAGAAAGUACAGAAGAUGAGAGUCAGAAAUGGAGAUAAAAGAUUAAACAGUAUUCUUCUCUAAAUCAACAUUGCCAAAAGCCACUUUUUUUCUGUAGUCUUUGAAAGCACAGUGUGAAGAAUUUCUUCUGUGUGAGUAUGAUUAAGCCUCACCUUCUAUAGAAACUUCAGCUCUCCGGAUUUCAUCAUAUGGACAUCUGGUCAUUGAGUCUCCAAACAAAAUACAAUCCUUGAGGUGGAAGCAUGAAUCAGUGCAGAACAUGUAUUUUACCUUCUAGUUUACACUGUUGUAAUAAGCUUGUCAUCAGUCAUCAACUUUAAGCAAAUUACAAAGAAAUGUCAACAGAAACAAUGACAAAUUUGCCUUGUUAAAUAAAAGUUACUUAUUUUACAAGUCAAAAGCUAUUCUUUUUGUACAA